UACGUAGGGUGCGAGCGUUGUCCGGAAUUAUUGGGCGUAAAGGGCUCGUAGGCGGUCUGUUACGUCGGGAGUGAAAACUCGGGGCUCAACCCCGAGCCUGCUUCCGAUACGGGCAGACUAGAGGUAUGCAGGGGAGAAUGGAAUUCCUGGUGUAGCGGUGAAAUGCGCAGAUAUCAGGAGGAACACCGGUGGCGAAGGCGGUUCUCUGGGCAUUACCUGACGCUGAGGAGCGAAAGUGUGGGGAGCAAACAGG
RNAcentral lists this ribosomal RNA (253 nucleotides) under uncultured bacterium. RNAcentral's name for it is "partial 16S ribosomal RNA". It matches the Rfam family "Bacterial small subunit ribosomal RNA", at positions 524 to 776 of the family's 1533-position model. The record is from RNAcentral.